GCUCAGGGGCUACUGUUGGGGGGAAAUAUUAACGACCUCCUAAAGCCCAUGAAAAUAACAAUCAUAGAGGCUCAGGCCCACCUAAGGUAAUAAAGACUGCCGUCGGCCCAACACAGGAGGCGAGAGCCCCGCUCCGCCUCGCCCGACCCGGUGCCCCGGGGUCGGAUGCCCCCGACCCCUUGAUGACCAGACUCCACCUCGCCCGACCCACGGGCCUAGGGUCGGGAGCGCCCGACCCCCGCCACAAGACUCCACCUCGCCCGACCCCCCGCCGCAAGACUCCGCCUCGCCCGACCCAGGGCGCAGGGGGUCGGACUCAUCCGGGCCCACAAGACAAAUGCCCGCCGCGGGUGCAGACUGGAAGAUCAGGGUGCGGAUCUCGUGGGUUCCCUGUUG
This 396-nucleotide long non-coding RNA is filed under the name Setaria viridis. RNAcentral's name for it is "long non-coding RNA (SVIR_LNC008053)". Lineage: Eukaryota; Viridiplantae; Streptophyta; Magnoliopsida; Poales; Poaceae. The record is from RNAcentral.